This 441-nucleotide ribosomal RNA is filed under the name uncultured bacterium. Its description in RNAcentral is "partial 16S ribosomal RNA". It matches the Rfam family "Bacterial small subunit ribosomal RNA", at positions 338 to 795 of the family's 1533-position model. The record is from RNAcentral.
CCUACGGGUGGCAGCAGUGGGGGAUAUUGCACAAUGGGGGGAACCCUGAUGCAGCGACGCCGCGUGGGUGAAGGAGUAUUUCGGUAUGUAAAGCCCUAUCGGCAGGGAAGAAGCAAGACGGUACCUGACUAAGAAGCCCCGGCUAACUACGUGCCAGCAGCCGCGGUAAUACGUAGGGGGCGAGCGUUAUCCGGAUUUACUGGGUGUAAAGGGAGCGUAGACGGCGGUGCAAGCCAGAUGUGAAAGCCCGGGGCUCAACCCCGGGACUGCAUUUGGAACUGUGCUGCUAGAGUGUCGGAGAGGCAGGCGGAAUUCCUAGUGUAGCGGUGAAAUGCGUAGAUAUUAGGAGGAACACCAGUGGCGAAGGCGGCCUGCUGGACGAUGACUGACGUUGAGGCUCGAAAGCGUGGGGAGCAAACAGGAUUAGAUACCCUUGUAGUC